GCAAUAGCUCCAAUUUGAAAGGCUUCGGCAUUGUAAUUCGCAGAAGGAUCUCGAUAACGAACCAAAAGUCUCUUGGAACAGAGCGCCAUAGAGGGUGACAGCCCCGUAACCCCCUUCAUCAUCAUGGAUCCUAUCGAAGAGUCGAGUAGUUUGGGAAUGCUGCUCUAAUGGGAGGUAAAUCCCUCCUAAAGCUAAAUACUUGCCAGAGCCGAUAGCGCACAA
This 222-nucleotide ribosomal RNA is filed under the name Cornuvesica falcata. Its description in RNAcentral is "ribosomal RNA small subunit". It matches the Rfam family "Eukaryotic large subunit ribosomal RNA", at positions 101 to 347 of the family's 3401-position model. Lineage: Eukaryota; Fungi; Ascomycota; Sordariomycetes; Ophiostomatales; Ophiostomataceae. The record is from RNAcentral.